Small nucleolar RNA from Misgurnus anguillicaudatus (oriental weatherfish), 278 nucleotides. The record is from RefSeq and is a predicted model, not a curated record. Lineage: Eukaryota; Metazoa; Chordata; Actinopteri; Cypriniformes; Cobitidae.
GCCCAAUGAUGAGACCAAGGCGAAUAUGAGCCCACUGAUUAGAGUCUGAGCUCUCCUGUGCACCCAUUGGCUGGUAAUCUUGGCUGGACAGUGAAGGUUUACUGUUUUGCUGUAAGGGCCUGCCUACAUUAUCUAGCUCCUCACUUUUUCUAUCCUUUAAAGAAAUUGGGGGAGAUAAAGAAGGGGAGCUUACAGUUUGUGUAGGGUAACAGGUUGAGUCUCACCUCUCUGGAUUAAAUCUAUGGGCAUUGAGCUCUCUCUUUGGUAAUCUGAGGGUA